CAGAGUCUCCUUCGUGUACAGGGAGGAGACUGUACGUGAGAGAUAGUCAGAUCCGCAUGUUAGAGCAGAGUCUCCUUCGUGUACAGGGAGGAGAUUGUAC
This is a microRNA precursor of Homo sapiens (human), 100 nucleotides long. NCBI's taxonomy places the organism in Eukaryota, Metazoa, Chordata, Mammalia, Primates, Hominidae. The record is from Ensembl.